UACGUAGGGGGCAAGCGUUGUCCGGAAUCAUUGGGCGUAAAGCGCGUGUAGGCGGUCCGGUAAGUCGGUUGUGAAAGUCCAGGGCUCAACCCUGGGAUGCCGAUCGAUACUGCCGGACUAGAGUCCGGAAGAGGCGAGUGGAAUUCCCGGUGUAGCGGUGAAAUGCGCAGAUAUCAGGAGGAACACCAAUUGCGAAGGCAGCUCGCUGGGACGUUACUGACGCUGAGACGCGAAAGCGUGGGGAGCAAACAGG
Molecule: ribosomal RNA, 253 nt
Filed under: uncultured bacterium
Lineage: Bacteria
Description: partial 16S ribosomal RNA
Rfam family: Bacterial small subunit ribosomal RNA
Source: RNAcentral